This 674-nucleotide ribosomal RNA is filed under the name uncultured bacterium. Its description in RNAcentral is "bacterial SSU rRNA". It matches the Rfam family "Bacterial small subunit ribosomal RNA", at positions 231 to 916 of the family's 1533-position model. The record is from RNAcentral.
CCGCGGCCCAUCAGGUAGUCGGUGGGGUAAUGGCCUACCGAGCCGAUGACGGGUAGCUGGUCUGUGAGGACAGACAGCCAGACUGGGACUGAGACACGGCCCAGACUCCUACGGGAGGCAGCAGCAAGGAAUUUUCGUCAAUGGGCGCAAGCCUGAACGAGCAACGCCGCGUGGAGGAUGACGGCCUUCGGGUUGUAAACUCCUUUUUCGGGGGACGAUAAUGACGGUACCCCGGGAAUAAGGCUCGGCUAACUCUGUGCCAGCAGCCGCGGUAAUACAGAGGAGCCAAGCGUUGUCCGGAUUGACUGGGCGUAAAGCGCACGCAGGCGGUCUGGCGCGUGGGGUGUGAAAUCUGGCCGCUUAACGGCCAGGCGCCAUCCCAUACGGCCGGACUGGAGGGCUGCAGAGGUCGAUGGAAUUGCCGGUGUAGUGGUGAAAUGCGUAGAGAUCGGCAGGAACACCCAGGGGGAAACCAGUCGACUGGGCAGCACCUGACGCUGAGGUGCGAGAGCGUGGGGAGCGAACCGGAUUAGAUACCCGGGUAGUCCACGCCGUAAACGAUGGCCACUCGGCCUUUGGCGACGGAAUCUCCGUCGGUGGGGGCCUUAGCUAACGCGGGAAGUGGCCCGCCUGGGAACUACGAGCGCAAGCUUAAAACUUAAAGGAAUUGACGG